This 207-nucleotide ribosomal RNA is filed under the name uncultured bacterium. RNAcentral describes it as "partial 16S ribosomal RNA". It matches the Rfam family "Bacterial small subunit ribosomal RNA", at positions 568 to 774 of the family's 1533-position model. The record is from RNAcentral.
CGCGUAGGCGGACUUUCAAGUCGGAUGUGAAAACUCCGGGCUCAACUCGGAGCCUGCAUCCGAUACUGUUGGUCUUGAGUACAUGAGAGGAAAGCGGAAUUCCAGGUGUAGCGGUGAAAUGCGUAGAUAUCUGGAAGAACACCAGUAGCGAAGGCGGCUUUCUGGCGUGAUACUGACGCUGAAGCGCGAAGGCUAGGGGAGCAAACA